CCUACGGGCGGCAGCAGUGGGGAAUAUUGGACAAUGGGGGCAACCCUGAUCCAGCCAUGCCGCGUGUGUGAAGAAGGCCCUCGGGUUGUAAAGCACUUUCAGUGAGGAAGAACGCCUGGUGGUUAAUACCCAUCAGGAAAGACAUCACUCACAGAAGAAGCACCGGCUAACUCCGUGCCAGCAGCCGCGGUAAUACGGAGGGUGCGAGCGUGAAUCGGAAUUACUGGGCGUAAAGCGCGCGUAGGUGGCUUGAUAAGCCGGUUGUGAAAGCCCCGGGCUCAACCUGGGAACGGCAUCCGGAACUGUCAAGCUAGAGUGCAGGAGAGGAAGGUAGAAUUCCCGGUGUAGCGGUGAAAUGCGUAGAGAUCGGGAGGAAUACCAGUGGCGAAGGCGGCCUUCUGGACUGACGCUGACACUGAGGUGCGAAAGCGUGGGUAGCAAACAGGAUUAGUACCCUGGUAGUC
RNAcentral lists this ribosomal RNA (464 nucleotides) under Vreelandella stevensii. RNAcentral describes it as "partial 16S ribosomal RNA". It matches the Rfam family "Bacterial small subunit ribosomal RNA", at positions 338 to 795 of the family's 1533-position model. The record is from RNAcentral. Lineage: Bacteria; Pseudomonadati; Pseudomonadota; Gammaproteobacteria; Oceanospirillales; Halomonadaceae.